Molecule: small nucleolar RNA, 85 nt
Organism: Xenopus tropicalis (tropical clawed frog)
Lineage: Eukaryota; Metazoa; Chordata; Amphibia; Anura; Pipidae
Source: Ensembl
UCUGGUGAUGAUGACACACUUGCCCUCACUGAGAAUACUAUUCUAUAAUGAGAACACUAUUGUACUCAACUAACCCUGAACCAGA